CCUACGGGAGGCAGCAGUGGGGAAUAUUGCACAAUGGGGGAAACCCUGAUGCAGCAACGCCGCGUGAGUGAAGAAGUAUCUCGGUAUGUAAAGCUCUAUCAGCAGGGAAGAAAAUGACGGUACCUGACUAAGAAGCCCCGGCUAACUACGUUCCAGCAGCCGCGGUAAUACGUAGGGGGCAAGCGUUAUCCGGAUUUACUGGGUGUAAAGGGAGCGUAGACGGGAUGGCAAGUCUGAAGUGAAAGCCCGGGGCUCAACACCGGGACUGCUUGUGAAACUGUCAUGCUGGAGUGAGGGAGAGGUAAGCGGAAUGCCUAGUGUAGCGGUGAAAUGCGUAGAUAUUAGGAGGAACACCAGUGGCGAAGGCGGCUUACUGGACAGUAACUGACGUUGAGGCUCGAAAGCGUGGGGAGCAAACAGGAUUAGAUACCCCUGUAGUC
This 440-nucleotide ribosomal RNA is filed under the name uncultured bacterium. Its description in RNAcentral is "partial 16S ribosomal RNA". It matches the Rfam family "Bacterial small subunit ribosomal RNA", at positions 338 to 795 of the family's 1533-position model. The record is from RNAcentral.